AUCCUGGCUCAGGAUGAACGCUGGCGGCGUGCUUAACACAUGCAAGUCGAACGAGAGAAGAUUGGUGCUUGCACUGAUCCGAUCGAGUGGCGGACGGGUGAGUAACGCGUGGGUAACCUGCCUCAUACAGGGGAAUAACAGUUGGAAACGGCUGCUAAAACCGCAUAAGCGCACAGUAUCGCAUGAUACAGUGUGAAAAAACUCCGGUGGUAUGAGAUGGACCCGCGUCUGAUUAGCUAGUUGGUGAGGUAACGGCCCACCAAGGCAACGAUCAGUAGCCGGCCUGAGAGGGUGAACGGCCACAUUGGGACUGAGACACGGCCCAAACUCCUACGGGAGGCAGCAGUGGGGAAUAUUGCACAAUGGGGGAAACCCUGAUGCAGCGACGCCGCGUGAGUGAUGAAGUAUUUCGGUAUGUAAAGCUCUAUCAGCAGGGAAGAUAAUGACGGUACCUGACUAAGAAGCACCGGCUAAAUACGUG
RNAcentral lists this ribosomal RNA (481 nucleotides) under uncultured bacterium. Its description in RNAcentral is "bacterial SSU rRNA". It matches the Rfam family "Bacterial small subunit ribosomal RNA", at positions 16 to 507 of the family's 1533-position model. The record is from RNAcentral.